Molecule: ribosomal RNA, 439 nt
Filed under: uncultured bacterium
Lineage: Bacteria
Description: partial 16S ribosomal RNA
Rfam family: Bacterial small subunit ribosomal RNA
Source: RNAcentral
CUACGGGUUGCUCCAGUGAGGAAUAUUGCACAAUGGGGGGAACCCUGAUGCAGCAACGCCGCGUGGAGGAUGACGCAUUUCGGUGUGUAAACUCCUUUUAUAUGUCAAGAAAAUGACGGUAGCAUAUGAAUAAGCACCGGCUAACUCCGUGCCAGCAGCCGCGGUAAUACGGGGGGUGCAAGCGUUACUCGGAAUCACUGGGCGUAAAGGACGCGUAGGCGGGUUGGAAAGUCAGGUGUGAAAUCCUACAGCUUAACUGUAGAACUGCACUUGAAACUUCUAAUCUAGGGUACGGGAGGGGGAGAUGGAAUUAGUGGUGGAGGGGUAAAAUCCGUAGAUAUCACUAGGAAUACCUAAAGCGAAGGCGAUCUCCUGGAACAUUACUGACGCUAAGGCGUGAAAGCGUGGGGAGCAAACAGGAUUAGAUACCCCAGUAGUC